UACGCAGGGUGCAAGCGUUGUCCGGAAUUAUUGGGCGUAAAGAGCUCGUAGGCGGUUUGUUGCGUCGGCUGUGAAAUCCCGAGGCUCAACCUCGGGUCUGCAGUCGAUACGAGCAAACUAGAGUGUUGCAGGGGAGACUGGAAUUCCUGGUGUAGCGGUGAAAUGCGCAGAUAUCAGGAGGAACACCGGUGGCGAAGGCGGCAACCUGGGCCAAUAUUGACGCUGAGGUGCGAAAGCGUGGGGAGCAAACAGG
This 253-nucleotide ribosomal RNA is filed under the name uncultured bacterium. RNAcentral's name for it is "partial 16S ribosomal RNA". It matches the Rfam family "Bacterial small subunit ribosomal RNA", at positions 524 to 776 of the family's 1533-position model. The record is from RNAcentral.